AUUGAACGCUGGCGGCAUGCCUUACACAUGCAAGUCGAACGGCAGCACGGGAGCAAUCCUGGUGGCGAGUGGCGAACGGGUGAGUAAUAUAUCGGAACGUGCCCGGUCGUGGGGAUAACGUAGCGAAAGCUACGCUAAUACCGCAUACGAUCUACGGAUGAAAGGCGGGGGGAUCGCAAGACCUCGCGCGAUUGGAGCGGCCGAUAUCAGAUUAGGUAGUUGGUGAGGUAAAGGCUCACCAAGCCGACGAUCUGUAGCUGGUCUGAGAGGACGACCAGCCACACUGGGACUGAGACACGGCCC
Molecule: ribosomal RNA, 303 nt
Filed under: uncultured bacterium
Lineage: Bacteria
Description: bacterial SSU rRNA
Rfam family: Bacterial small subunit ribosomal RNA
Source: RNAcentral